AUACGAACCGGACAAACGUUAUUCGGAAUCAUUGGGCUUAAAGGGUGCGUAGGCGGCGUAGUAAGUGAGGUGUGAAAGCCCUCGGCUCAACCGAGGAAUUGCGCUUCAUACUGCUAUGCUCGAGGGAGACAGGGGUAAGCGGAACUGAUGGUGGAGCAGUGAAAUGCGUUGAUAUCAUCAGGAACACCAGUGGCGAAAGCGGCUUACUGGGUCUCUUCUGACGCUGAGGCACGAAAGCUAGGGUAGCGAACGGGAUUAGAAACCCUUGUAGUCC
RNAcentral lists this ribosomal RNA (274 nucleotides) under uncultured bacterium. RNAcentral describes it as "partial 16S ribosomal RNA". It matches the Rfam family "Bacterial small subunit ribosomal RNA", at positions 523 to 796 of the family's 1533-position model. The record is from RNAcentral.